RNAcentral lists this long non-coding RNA (537 nucleotides) under Zonotrichia albicollis (white-throated sparrow). Its description in RNAcentral is "lncRNA (ENSZALG00000015335.1)". Lineage: Eukaryota; Metazoa; Chordata; Aves; Passeriformes; Passerellidae. The record is from RNAcentral.
AUCCACACUCCAUAUCGCUUUUUACGACUGCUAAGUAAUAAAUUUCUCACUUCAUUCACUUUUAGGACACAUUAUGCUGCCACAUGUGUGGCAGAUUUGCUUUUGAAAAGUAAAGAAUGUGACACCAAUGAUAAAUUUCUAUGCAUCUGCUUGCAAAUAAUGCUCAGUGGUGAUGACCUUGUAGAAAGACAGCGAGUCCAGGAGAUAAUCUGGGCAAUACAUCUUUCCAAUUUUUUCUCUAGGACAGGCAGCCAGAAUGACAUCCAGUGCCUUUGGUGCUGCCCAAUAACCAUAAUCCUUCCAAGUCCAGUGAAAAAUGCAGCUGGCCGGCUUUGUGAGAAUCCUUCCUGUGGUGGGAUUCUCAAGCAGCGAGAGUCACCAAAACCACUGACCUUUGCAGAAAGUGUAUUUGGUAGAGGUGCAGGCUGUGGUCACUUGUGGGCAACAUUGGUCUCCAGUUGCUUCAGUGAACUUUUGCCAUCAGAGUCCUCCAGUUUGCAUCACCAGGCAGCACUUGUGGUCCCUUGGUCUAAAUGA